AGCGAACGCUGGCGGCAGGCCUAACACAUGCAAGUCGAACGAACUCUUCGGAGUUAGUGGCGGACGGGUGAGUAACACGUGGGAACGUGCCUUUUGGUUAGGAAUCACUCAAGGAAACUUGUGCUAAUACCGAAUGUGCUCUUCGGGGGAAGGAUUUUUCGCCAUUAGAGCGGCCCGCGUCUGAUUAGCUAGUUGGUGAGGUAACGGCUCACCAAGGCGACGAUCAGUAGCUGGUCUGAGAGGAUGACCAGCCACACUGGGACUGAGACACGGCCCAGACUCCGACGGGAGGCCGCAGUGGAGAAUCUUGCGCAAUGAGCGAAAGCCUGACGCAGCCAUGCCGCGUGAAUGAUGAAGGUCUUAGGAUUGUAAAAUUCCUUCACCGGGGACGAUAAUGACGGUACCCGGAGAAGAAGCCCCGGCUAACUUCGUG
This 433-nucleotide ribosomal RNA is filed under the name uncultured bacterium. Its description in RNAcentral is "partial 16S ribosomal RNA". It matches the Rfam family "Bacterial small subunit ribosomal RNA", at positions 29 to 507 of the family's 1533-position model. The record is from RNAcentral.